UAGACAAGAGGGGUUGCUCUGAUGGUAAGCAACCCCCACUUCCAACUGAGAGGUUGUGAGUUCGAGUCUCCCCAAGAGCAAGGUGGGAAGUUCUUGGAGUGAAGGAUGCCGGGGGUAUAUUUGAAAACAACCUCUCUACCCAAGGGUAGGGGUAAGGUCUGCGUACACACUACUCUCCCCAGACCCCACUAAGUGGGAUUAUACUGGGUUGUUAUUGUUGU
RNAcentral lists this long non-coding RNA (221 nucleotides) under Nicotiana benthamiana. RNAcentral's name for it is "long non-coding RNA (NBEN_LNC013387)". Lineage: Eukaryota; Viridiplantae; Streptophyta; Magnoliopsida; Solanales; Solanaceae. The record is from RNAcentral.